Molecule: ribosomal RNA, 253 nt
Filed under: uncultured bacterium
Lineage: Bacteria
Description: partial 16S ribosomal RNA
Rfam family: Bacterial small subunit ribosomal RNA
Source: RNAcentral
UACGAAGGGGGCUAGCGUUGUUCGGAAUUACUGGGCGUAAGGGCGCGUAGGCGGCUUGGCAAGUGGAAGGUGAAAUCCCUCGGCUUAACCGAGGAACUGCCCUCCAAACUGCUUCGCUUGAGACCGGGAGAGGUGAGUGGAAUUCCCAGUGUAGCGGUGAAAUGCGUAGAUAUUGGGAGGAACACCAGUGGCGAAGGCGGCUCACUGGACCGGAACUGACGCUGAUGCGCGAAAGCGUGGGGAGCAAACGGGG